GAAGUCGGUCAGGCAGCCGCUGGGCAAAAGGUGAAAGCCUGGCGCCGAGAGGAAAGUCCGGGCUCCAAAGAGCAGGAUGCCGGUUAACGACCGGGCACCGUGAGGUGACGGAAAGUGCAACAGAAAGCAGACCGCCGAUGUCCUCGCGCAGGCGACUGCCAGGGCAGGCAAGGGUGAAACGGCGAGGUAAGAGCUCACCGCGGACGUGGUAACACGGACGGCACGGCAAACCCCAUCCGGAGCAAGGCCAAAUAGGGAAGCAUCGGCGUGGCUCGCGCUGCUUCCGGGUAGGCCGCUUGAGCGUGCUGGCAACAGCACGUCUAGAGGAAUGGCUGUCCACGACAGAACCCGGCUUAUCGACCGGCUUCCCCC
Molecule: RNase P RNA, 372 nt
Filed under: Accumulibacter sp.
Lineage: Bacteria; Pseudomonadati; Pseudomonadota; Betaproteobacteria
Description: RNase P RNA component class A
Rfam family: Bacterial RNase P class A
About the family: Ribonuclease P (RNase P) is a ubiquitous endoribonuclease, found in archaea, bacteria and eukarya as well as chloroplasts and mitochondria. Its best characterised activity is the generation of mature 5'-ends of tRNAs by cleaving the 5'-leader elements of precursor-tRNAs.
Source: RNAcentral